CCGUAACUAUAACGGUCCUAAGGUAGCGAAAUUCCUUGUCGGGUAAGUUCCGACCUGCACGAAUGGCGUAAUGAUGGCCAGGCUGUCUCCACCCGAGACUCAGUGAAAUUGAACUCGCUGUGAAGAUGCAGUGUACCCGCGGCAAGACGGAAAGACCCCGUGAACCUUUACUAUAGCUUGACACUGAACAUUGAGCCUUGAUGUGUAGGAUAGGUGGGAGGCUUUGAAGUGUGGACGCCAGUCUGCAUGGAGCCGACCUUGAAAUACCACCCUUUAAUGUUUGAUGUUCUAACGUGGACCCGUUACCCGGGUUGCGGACAGUGUCUGGUGGGUAGUUUGACUGGGGCGGUCUCCUCCUAAAGAGUAACGGAGGAGCACGAAGGUUGGCUAAUCCUGGUCGGACAUCAGGAGGUUAGUGCAAUGGCAUAAGCCAGCUUGACUGCGAGCGUGACGGCGCGAGCAGGUGCGAAAGCAGGUCAUAGUGAUCCGGUGGUUCUGAAUGGAAGGGCCAUCGCUCAACGGAUAAAAGGUACUCCGGGGAUAACAGGCUGAUACCGCCCAAGAGUUCAUAUCGACGGCGGUGUUUGGCACCUCGAUGUCGGCUCAUCACAUCCUGGGGCUGAAGUAGGUCCCAAGGGUAUGGCUGUUCGCCAUUUAAAGUGGUACGCGAGCUGGGUUUAGAACGUCGUGAGACAGUUCGGUCCCUAUCUGCCGUGGGCGCUGGAGAACUGAGGGGGGCUGCUCCUAGUACGAGAGGACCGGAGUGGACGCAUCACUGGUGUUCGGGUUGUCAUGCCAAUGGCACUGCCCGGUAGCUAAAUGCGGAAGAGAUAAGUGCUGAAAGCAUCUAAGCACGAAACUUGCCCCGAGAUGAGUUCUCCCUGAG
This 886-nucleotide ribosomal RNA is filed under the name Salmonella enterica subsp. enterica serovar Paratyphi A. RNAcentral describes it as "partial 23S ribosomal RNA". It matches the Rfam family "Bacterial large subunit ribosomal RNA", at positions 1934 to 2819 of the family's 2925-position model. The record is from RNAcentral. Lineage: Bacteria; Pseudomonadati; Pseudomonadota; Gammaproteobacteria; Enterobacterales; Enterobacteriaceae.